CACACGCUCAAAUAGAUCCUCCAUCGACGAUACGUCGUAGACCAUAGAUUCUCAACACGUGGCUCGCCAGUUGAUUUUAGGCGAACGAUUAAAUGUCACAAUUAACAGAUUACACGAUAGAAAUUCGAUAAGAGAAUAAUUAGCGAAGAAUUAUUUACGAAAUUGGAUCUGGAAACCAUAAAAGUUUCAGAGGCCUAUGAUAUUGAACAGACUAUAAUUUCGAGGAUUUUCUGGCGAGUCAGCACGACUGAGAUUCACGCUUAGGGCAAUAAAUUUGAUCCAGUUCGGUGACGACCUAAUGUAUCGGAUGCGUCGUCGUGUCACGGCGCCCGCAUAAGCAAGCGUGGCACGCGUCACGACGCCUCGCCGUCGAUAAACAAGGCGCUGGAAACCAAAGUGGUGUCCAAGCGUCGUCUAUCGGAGCUUCGAUCACGCAUAUCGAUAGAUCCCAGCUCGUAUGGAGGACUGACAAUAAGAAUCGCGACUUAGAAGGCGACCGUUGUCACUGCAGGCCUACUUCAUGGCGGAAGUCUCUUGACCAAUCAAUCCGUCGAUUCUUGGUCAACAGGUCACUCGGAUCAAAUGGAAGAGAAAAUUAAUGUGGCUCGCCGCCGUGGAAUGCUUCUACAUUUCAUUAUUCUCCCAUCAAAUCACCUCAUCAUCGACAAGAAUAGAACAAGCUCUUCUAAAAGUAUA
This 696-nucleotide unclassified non-coding RNA is filed under the name Bombus terrestris (buff-tailed bumblebee). RNAcentral's name for it is "misc RNA ENSBTSG00005020203.1". The record is from RNAcentral. Lineage: Eukaryota; Metazoa; Arthropoda; Insecta; Hymenoptera; Apidae.